This 253-nucleotide ribosomal RNA is filed under the name uncultured bacterium. RNAcentral describes it as "partial 16S ribosomal RNA". It matches the Rfam family "Bacterial small subunit ribosomal RNA", at positions 524 to 776 of the family's 1533-position model. The record is from RNAcentral.
UACAGAGGUCUCAACCGUUGUUCGGAUUCAUUGGGCGUAAAGGGUGCGUAGGCGGUCGCGCAAGUCGGAUGUGAAAUCUCGGGGCUCAACCCCGAAACUGCAUUCGAUACUGCGUGGCUAGAGUGCUGGAGGGGAGACUGGAAUUUACGGUGUAGCAGUGAAAUGCGCAGAUAUCAGGAGGAACACCUAUUGCGAAGGCAGCUCGCUGGGACGUAACUGACGCUGAGACGCGAAAGCGUGGGGAGCAAACAGG